UUUUAAGGCCCUCAAUGUUACAAUUGGCAACAAAUCUGCAAGUUCAACAUGUCAAGUGUGGCGAAUUCUUGUGAGCUAGAGAUCAGCAAGAUCAUUAUCUCAAGUUUUAUGAAGUCUCAUGAGCAAGAUGUUACUAAGGUCUAGAAUUUAAGAUGUCUUGGAAUUUAAUGAACAAGGUGCCAUCAAGGGUAAACUGCUUGAUGUCAUUAAACAAUAUACUGUUUGUGAAAUACACCUGCAAGAAGAGCAAAGAAUAACAUGCUGCUUGUCUAGAAACAAUCAACUGUUGUUUGUGAAAGUCACCAGCAAAACAUACAAAGAAUAACAUGCUGCUUGUCUAGAAACAAUCAACUGUUGUUUGUGAAAGUCACCAGCAAAACAUACAAAGAUGUUGGCGAAAAGAAGAGCAAAUGCGAGGAAGAAGCAACCCAGUCAAUCAAACGAAGAUGAUGCCAAAUGUUUUCUGCAUAAUUUCACUUAAGACUUAACAGCCAAAAGGCUGUAGUCAUUUAGAAACUAGAAAUUCAUCAUCAUGAACCGUGGUCCACAUGUAGAAAAGCAAAAGAAUCGUUAACCCGACGGAAACCUUCCAAAUUGCUAGCCAGUUUCAAAAACAUGCCCAGAGAAGGCUUUAAGAUUUGAAAGAAAGAGCAGAAAUUUGAAGAAGCAGAAAGACACUUUGGUUCAGCUGCCGUUUUGCAAAGAAAAAGGAGCAGCAAAAGCGAAACACCACUACAUCAAGACCACUAAGCGAUUUUCCAGACCACUGCCGUUUUGCAAAGAAAAAGGAGCAGCAAAAGCGAAACACCACUACAUCAAGACCACUAAGCGAUUUUCCAGACCACUACAUCCAGACCAGCCAGACCACUUCAUCCAGAGCAGGAACAAGAACCACGAACAGCAUUUCAGGCAUAUGUGAUUUGCGUAAAGUUGGAUAUCAUAUAAUAUCUCACUAAGAUAGGGACACGUCAUAAUAAUACUUAGAUUAUAUCAGGUUCUUCUAAAGAGUUGUUCACUGAGCCCAAUUAUAUAUUUUAUUGCUGUUGUCAAUAAAUUGUUUUGACUCAACACGCAAAGUACAUUGUUUUUUUGUGUCUCCCUCUCGUACUAACAGACUAACACGUGACUUAGACAACACAGUACUUAGACAGACCAACA
Rhopilema esculentum is the source of this 1158-nucleotide non-coding RNA. The record is from RefSeq and is a predicted model, not a curated record. NCBI's taxonomy places the organism in Eukaryota, Metazoa, Cnidaria, Scyphozoa, Rhizostomeae, Rhizostomatidae.